AGUAGUAGACAUGACAACCAGCAUCUUAUCUCAGCAAGGCAGCAGGCUGGGCUGGUACCAGGUCUGUCUGGGCGUCCACACUGAUGCUCUCACCUGAGACGGCAGGCUUAGGUCAGACCUCCCGAACGUAGUCCUACACCCACCAGAAAAAGCCACUUUCUCAUCAUUUACCUCUCUUGCAUGUCUAAGUGUUCCACUGACACUUCUGAGGAAUUCUCUUUGAAAAAGUUAUCACACAGAUGCCGCUGUUUAACCCUGAAGUGUAUCAAGCUCGGAAGUACAUUUUAUUGGGAGCCUGUAACCAACUGGCUAAUGCAUGUCUACGCUGGCUCUCAUUGGGGGAGCUCUUAUAGAACUAGGGUAGACAGUCUGUUUUCAAGAAGACACUUCAUAUCAAGCCUGCCCGUCACCAUGGCACCUGUGAAACCCCCUGCAAUGUCAGCAUCCGCAUCAGUGUCUCUCCGGUGGGAUGAUCAGAUGACCACGUCAGGAGUACGGGGUGCAGGGAAAGGAUGGAAGUUCCCCGCAGACUGAUCUCGGAAUACUUAUCUGAAAAUGCUUCCAGAUCAAUUUGGAUUUCUUCCCAACUCUCCAUUCUAAUGGCUUCACCGUGCUAUGCUCAGGCCCAUGUUUCUAUAUCAUUCUGACUUUGCCUGGGCAUUUGAUGCCAUGUUCUUUUGAAGGAGACUUAGGGUCAUUCAUAAUAUCAUUCCGAGAGCCAAGGUUCAUUUUCAGCUGCACAGAUUUCAGGAACUGUUUCGUACAUUCAGCUCUCCUUCUGAAGAAGCUAUGUCCACCAUUUAUUAAGCUUUUUUUCCUUCAGUAAGCAUAUUGUUUUACUUCAAGUCUUACUGGAUUUGCUACUAGUCAUUUUGUGGUUUUGGUUGCCUAUCUGCACCUCUUUCUCCAAUUUGUAUUUUAACUCAUUGUUGGUAAGAAAGCUGAUUGAUUUUUUUAUACUUGGCAAUUUGGAAAUUUACUGAACUCUUUAAUUGUCGUUUGGCUAGUUCACUUGAGUUCAAAGCACACUAUAACAGGUCAGGUGUUGGUGGCAGUGGCACACGCCUUUAAUCUCAGCACCCAGGAGGCAAAGGCAGGCAUAUUCCUGAGAGUGUGAGGCCAGCCUGGUCUACAGGGUGAGCUCCAGCCUGGAUUACACAUCCAGGACUACACAGAGAAACCUUGCGUAGAAAAACCAGAACCAACCAAACCAAACGAAACAGAACACCAUGUAAUAAAACUUAUCCUCUAUUCAACUUGUAUGUUGAGAAAGUCUGACAUCCCACGCAUUACCCUUGACCAGGCUGCAUUUACUUUUCAUUAUUGCCCUCGUCCUGUGGCAUACUUUCUAUUCCUGUGAACUCUGACACCUGGGUCCUUCAGGGUUGUUUGGGUGUUAGCUCAUCACCCCGUAACCUCCACUGCCACCUCACAGGAAUCACUUCUGUCAUUUACAACAGCAGGGACUGGCUGGAGACCUUUCUGCUAAGGAAGACAAAUAUCACAAUACUUAACUCAGGUGGAGUCUAAAAAGUGAAUCAAACAACCUGAGAGAACAGUGGCGGCUACCAGAGCUUGGAGAGAACAGGGGAGAGGGAGGGCGAAGGUUGGUGAUCCAUCUGUAUGAAGUUACAGAUAGGGGCAAGAAGUUCUGGCGUCCUAAUGUAAUAGUAGAGUGACUGCAGAUAUAAAUACACUUCAUAUUCAAAUCUGAAAAAUUCUAAAUGUUUAAGGAUACAGCUAUGUAUUUUUUUAAGGUUUCCUUACGUUAUGUGUUUGAGUGUGUGCCUGCCAAGUAUGUCCUGUGUACAGCAUUAGCAUAGUGCCCAAAGAGGCCAGAGGAGGGUGUCAGCAUUACAGAGGGUUGUGAGCCACCGUGUGAGUGCUGGGGCUCAAACCCAGGUCCUCUGCAAAAGCAGCCAGCGUUCUUAACCACCGAGCUGUUUCUCCAUUCCUAGAUUCACUGUGUUCAACCUGAUUGAAGUAGUAUACAAAGUAUAUGUAUAUUGAAAUAUUACAUGGUAUCCUGCCGUAGAUGUA
Long non-coding RNA from Meriones unguiculatus (Mongolian gerbil), 2040 nucleotides. RefSeq lists it as uncharacterized. NCBI's taxonomy places the organism in Eukaryota, Metazoa, Chordata, Mammalia, Rodentia, Muridae. The record is from RefSeq and is a predicted model, not a curated record. The transcript has 3 exons.